GAAAUGCGAUAAGUAGUGUGAAUUGCAGAAUUCAGUGAAUCAUCGAAUCUUUGAACGCACAUUGCGCCCUUUGGUAUUCCAAAGGGCAUGCCUGUUCGAGCGUCAUUUGUACCCUCAAGCUUUGCUUGGUGUUGGGCGUCUUUUUGUCUCUCCCCUUGUUGGGGGAGACUCGCCUUAAAACGAUUGGCAGCCGACCUACUGGUUUUCGGAGCGCAGCACAAAUUUGCGCCUUCCAAUCCACGGGGCGGCAUCCAGCAAGCCUUUGUUUUCUAUAACAAAUCCACAUUUUGACCUCGGAUCAGGUAGGGAUACCCGCUGAACUUAAGC
This 327-nucleotide unclassified non-coding RNA is filed under the name plant metagenome. RNAcentral describes it as "partial contains 5.8S ribosomal RNA, internal transcribed spacer 2, and large subunit ribosomal RNA". The stretch from base 1 to 105 matches the Rfam family "5.8S ribosomal RNA", at positions 50 to 154 of the family's 154-position model. The record is from RNAcentral.